Molecule: ribosomal RNA, 623 nt
Filed under: Talaromyces purpureogenus
Lineage: Eukaryota; Fungi; Ascomycota; Eurotiomycetes; Eurotiales; Trichocomaceae
Description: eukaryotic LSU rRNA
Rfam family: Eukaryotic large subunit ribosomal RNA
Source: RNAcentral
CUUAAGCAUAUCAAUAAGCGGGGGAAAAGAAACCAACCGGGAUUGCCUCAGUAACGGCGAGUGAAGCGGCAAGAGCUCAAAUUUGAAAUCUGGCCCCCCCGGGGUCCGAGUUGUAAUUUGCAGAGGAUGCUUCGGGUGCGGUCCCCGUCUAAGUGCCCUGGAACGGGCCGUCAUAGAGGGUGAGAAUCCCGUCUGGGAUGGGCGGCCGCGCCCGUGUGAAGCUCCUUCGACGAGUCGAGUUGUUUGGGAAUGCAGCUCUAAGCGGGUGGUAAAUUUCAUCUAAAGCUAAAUACUGGCCGGAGACCGAUAGCGCACAAGUAGAGUGAUCGAAAGAUGAAAAGCACUUUGAAAAGAGAGUCAAACAGCACGUGAAAUUGUUGAAAGGGAAGCGUUGUCCACCAGACUCGCCCGGGGGGGUUCAGCCGGCACGUGUGCCGGUGUACUCCUCUCCGGGCGGGCCAGCAUCGGUUUGGGCGGCUGGUGAAAGGCCCCGGGAAUGUACCACCCUCCGGGGUGCCUUAUAGCCCGGGGUGCCAUGCGGCCAGCCUGGACCGAGGCCCGCGCUUCGGCGAGGAUGCUGGCGUAAUGGUGGUCAACGGCCCGUCUUGAAACACGGACCAAGG